Molecule: long non-coding RNA, 608 nt
Organism: Daphnia carinata
Lineage: Eukaryota; Metazoa; Arthropoda; Branchiopoda; Diplostraca; Daphniidae
Exons: 3
Source: RefSeq, a predicted model, not a curated record
GUUAAAUUCUGUUAGUGCUGCACUAAAAGAAUUGUUAGUAAUAAGUCCAUGCAGCGAAGGAAGUGAAGAAUUGUGGGACCGUAUUUGGGCUGAAAACGGAAACCCAGAAAUAGCACGAGUUCAACAUAAAACAUGAAUUAGAAUUUUAAUGGGGGAUCAAGUCAAGUCUGGAAGUGUUACAGGAUGGAAGAGUGAGCCUACAGUUGAAAAACACUGAAAGUGCAUUACCAUUAAGGUAUGAGGUAAAGUAAUAGAGUAUGCAAAUUGUCUAAUGAGAAGUACCAUCUUAUGUGAAUGAAUCCUGUGUAACAGCAAUCCUUUAUAGUUCUGUCACAGCUAGAAGCCUCAAAUAAUUCUGCUUCUCUUGCUAAAGAACAAGAUGUCCUUUACUUUCAGAGUGUUGGUGAAGCUGGGUACUUAAAUUGCCCUAAAGAUGUUUCAUUUCUUUGGCAUUGCAGCGAUGAACAUCAUACAUGGACUUUUUAGGAAAAUUUUCAGCAUACUGGGAACACAACUAUCAACAAUGCAACAUCCUAGGGGUGCUAUUUUAUCAUUCAAGAGCCUUAUACAAUGAUUUUCAUCUGCAAUUUGUAUGGCCUUUCCCAAGC